Molecule: ribosomal RNA, 253 nt
Filed under: uncultured bacterium
Lineage: Bacteria
Description: partial 16S ribosomal RNA
Rfam family: Bacterial small subunit ribosomal RNA
Source: RNAcentral
UACGUAGGUGGCAAGCGUUGUCCGGAUUUAUUGGGUUUAAAGGGUGCGUAGGUGGUCUUAUAAGUCAGUGGUGAAAUACUUCAGCUCAACUGGAGAGGUGCCAUUGAUACUGUUAGACUUGAGUACAGACGAGGUAGGCGGAAUUGACGGUGUAGCGGUGAAAUGCUUAGAUAUCGUCAAGAACACCGAUAGCGAAGGCAGCUUACUAGACUGUAACUGACACUGAGGCACGAAAGUGUGGGGAUCAAACAGG